This 253-nucleotide ribosomal RNA is filed under the name uncultured bacterium. RNAcentral's name for it is "partial 16S ribosomal RNA". It matches the Rfam family "Bacterial small subunit ribosomal RNA", at positions 524 to 776 of the family's 1533-position model. The record is from RNAcentral.
UACGUAGGUGGCAAGCGUUGUCCGGAAUUAUUGGGCGUAAAGCGCGCGCAGGCGGGCUUUUAAGCCAGACGUGAAAUCCCCGGGCUCAACCUGGGAAUGGCGAUGGAUACUGGCGCGCUAGAGUGCGGUAGAGGAGAGUGGAAUUCCCGGUGUAGCAGUGAAAUGCGUAGAGAUCGGGAGGAACAUCAGUUGCGAAGGCGGCUCUCUGGACCAACACUGACACUGAGGCACGAAAGCGUGGGGAGCAAACAGG